RNAcentral lists this ribosomal RNA (760 nucleotides) under uncultured bacterium. RNAcentral's name for it is "bacterial SSU rRNA". It matches the Rfam family "Bacterial small subunit ribosomal RNA", at positions 1 to 809 of the family's 1533-position model. The record is from RNAcentral.
CUUAGAGUUUGAUCCUGGCUCAGGAUGAACGCUGGCGGUAUGCUUAACACAUGCAAGUCGAACGGUGUCUUCGGACAUAGUGGCGGACGGGUGAGUAACGCGUGAGAAUCUAGCUUCAGGUCUGGGACAACCACUGGAAACGGUGGCUAAUACCGGAUGUGCCGGAAGGUGAAAGGCUUGCUGCCUGAAGAUGAGCUCGCGUCCGAUUAGCUAGUAGGUGGGGUAAGAGCCUACCUAGGCGACGAUCGGUAGCUGGUCUGAGAGGAUGACCAGCCACACUGGGACUGAGACACGGCCCAGACUCCUACGGGAGGCAGCAGUGGGGAAUUUUCCGCAAUGGGCGAAAGCCUGACGGAGCAAUACCGCGUGAGGGAGGAAGGCUCUUGGGUUGUAAACCUCUUUUCUCAGGGAAGAACACAAUGACGGUACCUGAGGAAUCAGCAUCGGCUAACUCCGUGCCAGCAGCCGCGGUAAUACGGAGGAUGCAAGCGUUAUCCGGAAUGAUUGGGCGUAAAGCGUCCGCAGGUGGCUGUGUAAGUCUGCUGUCAAAGAGCAAAGCUCAACUUUGUAAAGGCAGUGGAAACUACACGGCUAGAGUGCGUUCGGGGCAGAGGGAAUUCCUGGUGUAGCGGUGAAAUGCGUAGAGAUCAGGAAGAACACCGGUGGCGAAGGCGCUCUGCUAGGCCGCAACUGACACUGAGGGACGAAAGCUAGGGGAGCGAAUGGGAUUAGAUACCCCAGUAGUCCUAGCUGUAAACGA